RNAcentral lists this ribosomal RNA (607 nucleotides) under Bacillus cereus group sp. Its description in RNAcentral is "bacterial SSU rRNA". It matches the Rfam family "Bacterial small subunit ribosomal RNA", at positions 62 to 649 of the family's 1533-position model. Lineage: Bacteria; Bacillati; Bacillota; Bacilli; Caryophanales; Bacillaceae. The record is from RNAcentral.
UCGAGCGAAUGGAUUAAGAGCUUGCUCUUAUGAAGUUAGCGGCGGACGGGUGAGUAACACGUGGGUAACCUGCCCAUAAGACUGGGAUAACUCCGGGAAACCGGGGCUAAUACCGGAUAACAUUUUGAACCGCAUGGUUCGAAAUUGAAAGGCGGCUUCGGCUGUCACUUAUGGAUGGACCCGCGUCGCAUUAGCUAGUUGGUGAGGUAACGGCUCACCAAGGCAACGAUGCGUAGCCGACCUGAGAGGGUGAUCGGCCACACUGGGACUGAGACACGGCCCAGACUCCUACGGGAGGCAGCAGUAGGGAAUCUUCCGCAAUGGACGAAAGUCUGACGGAGCAACGCCGCGUGAGUGAUGAAGGCUUUCGGGUCGUAAAACUCUGUUGUUAGGGAAGAACAAGUGCUAGUUGAAUAAGCUGGCACCUUGACGGUACCUAACCAGAAAGCCACGGCUAACUACGUGCCAGCAGCCGCGGUAAUACGUAGGUGGCAAGCGUUAUCCGGAAUUAUUGGGCGUAAAGCGCGCGCAGGUGGUUUCUUAAGUCUGAUGUGAAAGCCCACGGCUCAACCGUGGAGGGUCAUUGGAAACUGGGAGACUUGAGUGC